GACGAACGCUGGCGGCGUGCUUAACACAUGCAAGUCGAACGCUGAAGCCCUUUCGGGGGUGGAUGAGUGGCGAACGGGUGCGUAACACGAGGGUAAUCUGCCCUGUACUUCGGGAUAAGCCUUGGAAACGGGGUUUAAUACCGGAUAGGACCUGUCCUCGCAUGGGGGUGGGUGGAAAGUUCCGGCGGUAUGGGAUGAGCCCGCGGCCUAUCAGCUUGUUGGGGGGGGAGUGGCCUACCAAGGCGACGACGGGUAGCCGGCUUGAGAGGGUGACCGGUCACACUGGGACUGAGACACGGCCCAGACUCCUACGGGAGGCAGCAGUGGGGAAUCUUGCGCAAUGGGCGAGAGCCUGACGCAGCAACGCCGCGUGGGGGAUGACGGCCUUCGGGUUGUAAACCUCUUUCGACAUCGACGAAGGGGCCCUGUUGUGGGGUUUUGACGGUAGGUGUAGAAGAAGCACCGGCUAACUACGUGCCAGCAGCCGCAGUAA
This 493-nucleotide ribosomal RNA is filed under the name uncultured bacterium. Its description in RNAcentral is "partial 16S ribosomal RNA". It matches the Rfam family "Bacterial small subunit ribosomal RNA", at positions 28 to 523 of the family's 1533-position model. The record is from RNAcentral.